GAUCUAAAUAUUAUAUAUCAGAUAUAAUCUAAAUUAAAUUAUAGAUCUAUAUGCAUAUAACAUCAUGUCAUAUCGAACUAUGGCUCUGAUACCAUUGUUAUGAUGCAUAGGAGUUUCACGCAUGCAUUUCAAAAAUUUUUCAGUGAAAAAAUAUUAGAUUAAACUAUUUAAUCUAUAAAAAUAUAUAUAUAAUUUGAUCUUAAAACUCUUACAAAUAGAUUGAUGAUAUAAAUUUAUAUGCAUAAAAAUUUGAAUCUAAAAUGACAAGCAUAUGAACCAAAAAUAGCAUUUAAUAAUAAAUCUAAUCUACCACUUCU
Molecule: long non-coding RNA, 317 nt
Filed under: Elaeis guineensis (African oil palm)
Lineage: Eukaryota; Viridiplantae; Streptophyta; Magnoliopsida; Arecales; Arecaceae
Description: long non-coding RNA (EGUI_LNC058917)
Source: RNAcentral